UGUUGCCUGUGCUGUUAGCCAGUCCUUACAUUCUUGAGCCGAUGUAUUUAUAUCGGGAGCGUAGAUACUUGUUUUAGCGUGCAUGCUCAGCCUGACUGAGAAGCCCAACGAACAGCAAACGCACCCACUUGGUUCUUGAGGGUUCAAGAGCCAUGUAAGCAGCGGCAGAUAUGGGCGGCAC
This 181-nucleotide non-coding RNA is filed under the name Pseudomonadota bacterium. RNAcentral describes it as "Proteobacteria bacterium 6S RNA". It matches the Rfam family "6S / SsrS RNA". Rfam says of the family: E. coli 6S RNA was the first non coding RNA to be sequenced, but its function was unknown until recently. It consists of 184 nucleotides that fold into an extended hairpin structure with a large single-stranded internal bulge. The record is from RNAcentral. RNAcentral also lists the same sequence under 2 other names. Lineage: Bacteria; Pseudomonadati; Pseudomonadota.